UAAAGGAGACAUAACAUGAAAAACCCACUUUUUUAUCCAUUAACACGGUGUGUUUCACAUUUUAAGUGUCUAAGUGAGCAAAAAGGCUUAUAUUAUUCACUGGAGUUGCUAUUUAGAUAUUUAAUAAUUAAGUUUUGGGCAUAUUUGUCCACCCGUUCAGUUUUUACAUUAUCUAUUACAUCAGUAAUUAAUUUAGUGAGGAUAACUACCAAAUAUGGUAAUGGCCCUCGGCUAAACACAGAGCCAAUCCGCCAUUUUUUCUUCUCGCUAAGAUUUUUUGUAGUCCUAUUGGAAAAAUGCAGAAUGUCUGGUUAUUUUAGCCACACACAGCUCAAAACUGUUCCUCGUUUUAAGGAAGGGUGGUGUGGCAGUAUUUAAACCCAGGAGCUGAUGACACUACUGCUAAAAAAAACACAGAAGAAAAAGUAGUGUGUUUGCGUUUGUUUGUGUGUGUGUGUGUGUGUGCGUGCGCGCGCGCGCGCGUGGUUCGUUCUGUCUCCAGGCUAGUGGCUAAGUACUGAGGGCUUCAUCUAUCUAAAAGGAGUUAUUUCCAUCUGAAUUUGGCAGCACCGGGACACAGCAGCAGAGCGAGUCCACAUCCAGAAGACUGGAGCCGUGUUUCACUGACAGGCUGUCAGACUAACGCCCUGAUGAGCUCAGCUGGGACAAACUGGUCUGAUGUUUAGGAACACAGAACGUUCAGAUGUUGGCGUUUCACGUCACCUACUGAGGAAGGAGACCCACCAGUAAAGAGACGGUCUGGACCAGACCAAAAAUAUGGCGAUGACAUCAUGGAACUGGUCUUUGGAAAAGUUUUCCCUGAACCAACUCCGUUUCUAGAUGAGGUAGAGAAGAUCUGCAUCUCACCAACUCUCUGGUCUCAGUAUUCAGACAACGGAGGUCUCCCACUGUUGUCCAGGACCAGUUUGAAGCCCACAUACUGCCCCUCCCUCAUCAUCAGGAAACAUCAAUCCGUAUCCUGAGGACAACAGAAGACGGCAGGAGGACAGGAACUCUGAGACCUAGACACCACCAGCACCGAGACACAAAGCACCUGUGUGCACAACGCCUGUUUUAACUACUAAAGCCUGUUUAUUAUAUUGUUCUACUUAUUUGCUGUGAGGUUAAUACUUAGAAAAUUUGUAUAUUAAUGUAAACAAUAAAAAAAAUCACUGAUUGUAUGCUUUCUUUUAGAUGUAAUGGUCCAAACUCAGCCUUGUAGACAUUUAUUGCAUCCUGUAGGUAAAUACACAGAACAGGCUCAGGUCCAGGAUGACCCAGCAUGCUCUUCUUCCAUUCUGGCUGUUAGGGAUUGUAUCAAUAACUCAAUGCCUACUGAUGUUUUCACCUAACGGUAUUUAUUUAGAAUGCAGGUAAGAUUUAACUAUAUUUGUUAGCAAAGCAGACUGAUCUUGGGAAUUUCACUGCAGCACUGAUGUCCACCUCUCUGUACACAUUAGAGAGAAUUACCACUUUACAGCUAAACACAUUUAAUAAAGAUAUAGGCUACGCAUUGCAGACAAUAAAAACAAAGUUGUAAGCAUUAGAAUUAUAAUGAUGACAUUAAAGAACACUUGGAGGAAUGUUCUUUAUUUUUGACUAGAAUCUCAAAUCUUUAAAUUAAAAUGUAACUGCUUUUUAUCCAUUUUCAGCCAUUAAGACACCCAAUAUAAAAUAAGACUACUUAUAAAAUUAUUUAUAAUUAUAUGUAUGUAUAUAGAUAGAGAUCUUAAUAAAAUAUAUUCUUUGAA
This is a long non-coding RNA of Nothobranchius furzeri (turquoise killifish), 1751 nucleotides long. RefSeq lists it as uncharacterized. Lineage: Eukaryota; Metazoa; Chordata; Actinopteri; Cyprinodontiformes; Nothobranchiidae. The record is from RefSeq and is a predicted model, not a curated record.